Manihot esculenta (cassava) is the source of this 2626-nucleotide RNA transcript. It is a transcript of the gene named phospholipid--sterol O-acyltransferase-like, with no coding region annotated. Lineage: Eukaryota; Viridiplantae; Streptophyta; Magnoliopsida; Malpighiales; Euphorbiaceae. The record is from RefSeq and is a predicted model, not a curated record. The transcript has 16 exons.
CUGCAUUCCGCAAUCUUCGAAGCCAUCAAAUUUUCUAACUCCAAACGGAUAGUCAGAGUCGUCGAGUCCGAUCCAUAAUAUCUCUCCCUCGAGUCUCAACGAGAAGUGAGAUGAAAGAUGAGAGGAAGACUCCGGCAUCUAGCUGUCGUCCUGGCGCUUCUGAUACUCUUCGGAGCUUCACGUAGAACCUCCGUAGACGGAGAAGAUUUCAGCGGAGACUACUCGAAGCUAUCGGGCAUAAUAAUUCCUGGUUUCGCGUCGACUCAGCUCAGAGCUUGGUCUUUCCUCGAUUGUCCUUAUUCUCCUCUCGAUUUUAACCCUCUCGACCUCGUCUGGCUCGACACAACGAAACUUCUUUCUGCUGUAAAUUGUUGGCUCAAGUGUUUGCUUCUUGAUCCUUACAAUCAAACAGACCAUCCUGAAUGCAAGUCGCGGCCUGAUAGUGGUCUUUCUGCGAUUACAGAACUUGAUCCUGGUUAUAUAACAGGUCCUCUUUCUUCAAUUUGGAAAGAAUGGAUUAAGUGGUGCAUUGAAUUUGGUAUUGAAGCUAAUGCAAUUAUUGCUGUUCCAUAUGACUGGAGAUUGGCGCCAGCAAUGCUUGAGGAUCGAGACCUUUAUUUUCACAGACUCAAAUUGACAUUUGAAACUGCUCUUAAACUUCGUGGUGGACCCUCAAUUGUGUUUGCCCAUUCCUUGGGGAACCAUGUCUUCCGCUACUUUCUGGAAUGGUUAAGGCUAGAACUUGCUCCAAAGCAUUAUAAUCAAUGGCUGGAUGAUCAUAUUCAUGCCUAUUUUGCUGUUGGAGCUCCUCUUCUUGGUGCAACUGAGACGGUCAAAGCAACACUGUUCGGAAACACAUUUGGUCUUCCCGUUUCUGAGGGUACAGCUCGAUUGAUGUUCAAUUCUUUUGCUUCCUCAUUAUGGAUGCUACCAUUUUCGAAGUAUUGUACAGCUGAGAGUCCAUAUUGGAGGCAUUUCUCUAGGGCAUCCGGGAAAAGUCAUCAGACUUAUCAAUGUGAAGAACGUGAAUUUCGCUCUAAUUACUCUGGAUGGCCAACGAAUAUAGUCAACAUUGAAAUCCCUUUUACCCGUGAAUUUGAUGCCUAUCCAUCAGUUACAGAAAUAGCGCAGACCAACUUGUCUAGCAUGGAAUGUGGACUUCCUACUCAGUUAUCUUUUUCAGCUCGUGAAAUAUCAGAUGGGACAUUUUUCAAAGCAAUAGAGGACUAUGAUUCUGAUAACAAGAGACUCUUAUACCAACUACAGAAGUCAUAUCAUGGGGAUCCUGUUCUGAAUCCACUUACACCUUGGGAUAGACCACCUAUUAAAAACGUUUUCUGCAUCUAUGGAGUUGAUUUGAAGACUGAGGUUGGUUACUAUUUUGCACCAAGUGGCAAGCCUUACCCUGACAAUUGGAUCAUAACAGAUGUCAUUUAUGAGCUUGAAGGAUCUCUGGUCUCAAGGUCAGGGAAUCUGGUCGAGGGGAAUCCUGGAGCUGCAAGUGGGGAUGAAACUGUACCAUAUAAUUCUCUCUCUCUGUGCAAGAACUGGCUUGGACCUAAAGUUAACAUAACAAGAGCUCCCCAGUCAGAGCAUGAUGGGUCAGACGUACAGGUAGAACUGAAUGUAGAACAUCAGCAUGAAGCAGAUAUAGUUCCCAACAUGACAAGGUCUCCAAGGGUAAAAUACAUUACAUAUUAUGAGGAUUCUGAAAGCAUUCCACGAAAGAGAACAGCAGUUUGGGAGAUUGAUAAAGAUUGCAUAUGGUUAGCAGCAAGGAUUGAUUUCUUGCAAAUUAAAUUGAAGUUAUCGUCAUGUAGCAAAUCACAGGAACAUCGUUAGAUCCCCUGUUCUAAUGCGAGAGUUGUGGCUCCAGAUGUGGCAUGAUAUCCAUCCUAAUAAAAAAUCAGAAUUUGUUACAAAAGCUAAGCGUGGACCUUUGAGGGAUGAUGACUGCUAUUGGGACUAUGGGAAGGCUCGUUGUGCGUGGCCUGAAUACUGUGAAUAUAGGUACCUUUUUGGGGAUGUUCACCUAGGACAGAGUUGUAGGUUGAAGAAUUCUUCAGCUGAUACGCUUUUGCAUUACCUAUAGAUUAGAAGGGAUCAACCUUUUCUGUUGCCUCAGUUGCUGGUAUUGGGCAUUGUUCCACUCUUUACAACUUCUGGAAUUCAAGCUUUUUGUCAUUCCAUAAUGAGACAGAGAAUGGCUGCCGGCCUUCGUCUCUGUUGAAAUUCUAACUCGGCAUCUCCACUUCCUCCUUUUUGCUGCUCAUGCCAUGUCUUCUCUCGUCAGCCAAGUGCCUUCCUUCUGUCCUACUGUUUGAAACUCUGGCAUAGCUUAUAUUUCCUGGUAGUUUCUGAUGAGCACAUCCUUGAGUUUGAACCAUCGCAGCGCCAAACAUAGAUCGCUGACUUAAUGUACUUGCACUGACAUGUUUUAGUUUAGUAGAUGCUCAUUGAGGAGUGCGUUUUCAAGGAGUCUUAAACAUCAAGCAAAGAUGGGACCUACAGGCUAUUACUGUUUGUGCAAGAUAUAGUUGAUGAAGUGGUAAAUCAAAAAAGAUAAAUAUGGAUGGCCUGGCCUUUAUUAUAAUUUGAAGCAUGUUUACUGAAUAGUUGCUGAAUC